RNAcentral lists this long non-coding RNA (774 nucleotides) under Cricetulus griseus (Chinese hamster). RNAcentral's name for it is "lncRNA (ENSCGRG00015043394.1)". Lineage: Eukaryota; Metazoa; Chordata; Mammalia; Rodentia; Cricetidae. The record is from RNAcentral.
UGUUUCUCGGCGCGCAAAGCUAUAAAUAAUGGCACAGAUCAUUAAACCCCGAGAGCAGGCCCAGCCGCCCCGCAAACAAGAUGAAGUGCAAACCACCACGUGAAAGAGAGAGCGGGAGGUACAAGGGAGAGACCCAGGCCCAGGGCCAUUAGGCCCCAGCCUGCACCCCUCAACCCAGGCCCAGUGAACUUGGGCCUCCAAGGCAUUCCCAGCAGAAUCUGGUGUGUCUACAUACAACCUGGAGCCCCUUCACUUGGGAAUGGGCUGGAAGGAUCAGAGAUGACCUACCAUCCAAGACCCACCCAUGAUAGAACCAGAACAAAUAAAGAAGUGGGGUGAGAAAUGUUCCUGGGAAGAAAAGCCAAGAAAAGUCAAGAAUGUGCAGCUACUAAAGAGGAACCUCAGACUCCUAACAUAAAAAGAAAAGGAACCAAAUAGCAGCAAAAAAAAAAAAAAAACCCUCCCUAGCCAGAAAUGGUGGUGGUAUUCACCAGAAGUCUUAGCAUUUUGGAGAUGGAACCUGGAGGAUCAGGAGUUAAACGUCAUUCCUGGAUACAUGAGUUCCAGGAUAGCCUAGGCUACAUGAGAUUCUGUUUUGAAUAAUAAAUAAGUGUCCCCCUUACCUGUUCCCAGGACCAAUUCCUUGCCAAGCAUCAAAAGCAUGAUCAGACAAGGCCAGCGAGAUGGCUCAGUGGGUAAAGGUGCUAAGAUCCCUGGUACAUAUACAUAUGUGUAUACACACAUAAGCAAAAUGAUAAAGAAGUUUUAAAGAUG